This 939-nucleotide long non-coding RNA is filed under the name Homo sapiens (human). RNAcentral's name for it is "HSALNT0122417". The record is from RNAcentral. Lineage: Eukaryota; Metazoa; Chordata; Mammalia; Primates; Hominidae.
UGGACCCACAAGACAGGAAGUGGAUCAAAGAUGGCCCUUCCUCAAAAGUCUUUGGAUUUGUGGCCCGGAAGCAGGGCAGUGCCACGGAUAAUGUGUGCCACCUGUUUGCAGAGCAUGACCCUGAGCAGCCUGCCAGUGCCAUUGUCAACUUCGUAUCAAAGGUCAUGAUUGGUUCCCCAAAGAAGGUCUGAGAACUCCCCUCCCUCCCUGGACCCACCGAUGCCUCUCGAAGCCCUGGAGACAGCCGUUGGGUGAGGGUGGGGCCCCCACUUUUUACCAAACUAGUAAACCUGACAUUCCAGGCCCAUGAGGGGAAAGAGGAUCUUCCAGCUCUGCAAAAACAAGAACAAACAACAUCACCGUGAAUUGGCCUUUCCUGAAAGUGACUUAUCUGACACAUCUCUGUAGCCACAUGCUUUUUGGGUAGAAGAAGCUGGGCAUGGGUGCACCCCACCCCCUAGGGUCCCCAUGGGAAAGGGACAUGCAAGGAAACAGCACAGAACACGAGGUGGUCCCCAUGUCCCUGGCACACUAGCAUUCCGGGGGAUGAGGAAUCCCCAGCCCUUGAGGCAGAGGUGCCGAGUGACUGCCAUGCUUCGCCCGUCCGCAUGGGCGCUUCUGUCCAGCUGCACCCGAGGCCGGGGGUUUCCCUCACCUCGGUCUUCCCAAGAUGGAGAUGCUAACGAAACUGAGAAGGGGGCGUAUGUUUGACGAAGGUUUGUGCAAGUCAGGCCCUUCUGGAACACAGCAGGGCCUACAACGAGGGGCCUUUGCGAUGGGCUGUGAGGAUGGGGGUGGUGGGAAGAAUUGGCCACGUUGGAGACCCCAUGCCACCCCACCAUGGUGAGUGCUCUGUGCCUCCUGCUCACCUGUGGUGAGCUGGGCGAGCUGGGCGAGCUGGGCGAGCUGGGCUGGGGAGAGCCUGUGAGGACCGAGAGG